CCCUUAGAUGUCCUGGGCUGCACGCGCGCUACACUGAUGUGUCCAGUAAGCACCUAACCUCUUCCGAAAGGAACGGGUAACCUUUGCAAAGCACAUCGUGAUGGGGAUAGAUUAUUGCAAUUAUUAGUCUUGAACGAGGAAUUCCUAGUAAGCACAAGUCAUCAGCUUGUGUUGAUUACGUCCCUGCCCUUUGUACACACCGCCCGUCGCUCCUACCGAUUUUGAGUGGUCCGGUGAACCUUCUGGAUUGUGCGGCUUGCCGCGCGAGAAGUUAUGUAAACCUUAUCACUUAGAGGAAGGAGAAGUCGUAACA
RNAcentral lists this ribosomal RNA (313 nucleotides) under uncultured eukaryote. Its description in RNAcentral is "partial 18S ribosomal RNA". It matches the Rfam family "Eukaryotic small subunit ribosomal RNA", at positions 1470 to 1796 of the family's 1831-position model. The record is from RNAcentral.